Molecule: unclassified non-coding RNA, 300 nt
Filed under: fungal sp.
Lineage: Eukaryota; Fungi
Also listed under: 2 other names
Description: partial contains 5.8S ribosomal RNA, internal transcribed spacer 2, and large subunit ribosomal RNA
Rfam family: 5.8S ribosomal RNA (bases 1-105)
Source: RNAcentral
GAAAUGCGAUAAGUAGUGUGAAUUGCAGAAUUCAGUGAAUCAUCGAAUCUUUGAACGCACAUUGCGCCCCUUGGUAUUCCAUGGGGCAUGCCUGUUCGAGCGUCAUUUGUACCUUCAAGCUCUGCUUGGUGUUGGGUGUUUGUCCUUGCUCUAGUGGCGGGACUCGCCUUAAAGUAAUUGGCAGCCAGUGUUUUGGUUUUGAAGCGCAGCACAAGUCGCGAUUCAAGUCUAUACGCUAGUUUCCACAAGUCUUUUAUCACUUUUGACCUCGGAUCAGGUAGGGAUACCCGCUGAACUUAA